Molecule: small nucleolar RNA, 108 nt
Organism: Hibiscus syriacus
Lineage: Eukaryota; Viridiplantae; Streptophyta; Magnoliopsida; Malvales; Malvaceae
Source: RefSeq, a predicted model, not a curated record
AAACCAUGCAUCAGACAUUUUUCGCAACAAAUCCUUAAAUUGCUCCUAUGCUUCAUAAAAGUUCUCAUCCUCCAAUUGCUUGAAAGAUGUGAUGUUGUUUCUCAAUCU